GAUGAACGCUGGCGGCGUGCCUAAUACAUGCAAGUCGAGCGAACGGACGAGAAGCUUGCUUCUCUGAUGUUAGCGGCGGACGGGUGAGUAACACGUGUAUAACCUACCUAUAAGACUGGGAUAACUUCGGGAAACCGGAUCUAAUACCGUAUAAUAUUUUGAACCGCAUGGUUCAAAAGUGAAAGACGGUCUUGCUGUCACUUAUAGAUGGAUCCGCGCUGCAUUAGCUAGUUGGUAAGGUAACGGCUUACCAAGGCAACGAUGCAUAGCCGACCUGAGAGGGUGAUCGGCCACAAUGGAACUGAGACACGGUCCAGACUCCUACGGGAGGCAGCAGUAGGGAAUCUUCCGCAAGGGGCGAAAGCCUGACGGAGCAACGCAGCGUGAGUGAUGAAGGUCUUCGGAUCGUAAAACUCUGUUAUUAGGGAAGAACAUAUGUGUAAGUAACUGUGCACAUCUUGACGGUACCUAAUCAGAAAGCCACGGCUAAAUACG
This 495-nucleotide ribosomal RNA is filed under the name uncultured bacterium. RNAcentral describes it as "partial 16S ribosomal RNA". It matches the Rfam family "Bacterial small subunit ribosomal RNA", at positions 28 to 505 of the family's 1533-position model. The record is from RNAcentral.